Molecule: ribosomal RNA, 253 nt
Filed under: uncultured bacterium
Lineage: Bacteria
Description: partial 16S ribosomal RNA
Rfam family: Bacterial small subunit ribosomal RNA
Source: RNAcentral
UACAGGGGGGGCAAGCGUUGUUCGGAAUUACUGGGCGUAAAGGGCUCGUAGGUGGCCAACUAAGUCAGACGUGAAAUCCCUCGGCUUAACCGGGGAACUGCGUCUGAUACUGGAUGGCUUGAGUUCGGGAGAGGGAUGCGGAAUUCCAGGUGUAGCGGUGAAAUGCGUAGAUAUCUGGAGGAACACCGGUGGCGAAGGCGGCAUCCUGGACCGAUACUGACACUGAGGAGCGAAAGCCAGGGGAGCAAACGGG